UUGACCUCGAAUCAGGUAGGAAUACCCGCUGAACUUAAGCAUAUCAAUAAGCGGAGGAAAAGAAACCAACAGGGAUUGCCCCAGUAACGGCGAGUGAAGCGGCAACAGCUCAAAUUUGAAAUCUGGCUCUCGGGCCCGAGUUGUAAUUUGUAGAGGAUGCUUUUGGUGAGGUGCCUUCCGAGUUCCCUGGAACGGGACGCCAUAGAGGGUGAGAGCCCCGUCUGGUUGGACACCGAUCCUCUGUAAAGCUCCUUCGACGAGUCGAGUAGUUUGGGAAUGCUGCUCUAAAUGGGAGGUAUAUGUCUUCUAAAGCUAAAUACCGGCCAGAGACCGAUAGCGCACAAGUAGAGUGAUCGAAAGAUGAAAAGAACUUUGAAAAGAGAGUUAAAAAGUACGUGAAAUUGUUGAAAGGGAAGCGCUUGUGACCAGACUUGGGCUUGGUUGAUCAUCCGGGGUUCUCUCCGGUGCACUCUUCCGGCUCAGGCCAGCAUCAGUUCGCCCUGGGGGAUAAAGGCUUCGGGAAUGUGGCUCUCUCCGGGGAGUGUUAUAGCCCGCUGCGUAAUACCCUGUGGCGGACUGAGGUUCGCGCAU
This 591-nucleotide ribosomal RNA is filed under the name Fusarium sp. VSMU-T309. Its description in RNAcentral is "eukaryotic LSU rRNA". It matches the Rfam family "Eukaryotic large subunit ribosomal RNA", at positions 1 to 602 of the family's 3401-position model. The record is from RNAcentral. Lineage: Eukaryota; Fungi; Ascomycota; Sordariomycetes; Hypocreales; Nectriaceae.